Molecule: ribosomal RNA, 787 nt
Filed under: uncultured Actinomycetes bacterium
Lineage: Bacteria; Bacillati; Actinomycetota; Actinomycetes
Description: bacterial SSU rRNA
Rfam family: Bacterial small subunit ribosomal RNA
Source: RNAcentral
CCGAUGGCGAAGGCAGGUCUCUGGGCCAAUACUGACACUGAGGAGCGAAAGCGUGGGGAGCGAACAGGAUUAGAUACCCUGGUAGUCCACGCCGUAAACGGUGGGCGCUAGUUGUGCGAACCUUCCACGGUUUGUGCGACGCAGCUAACGCAUUAAGCGCCCCGCCUGGGGAGUACGAUCGCAAGAUUAAAACUCAAAGGAAUUGACGGGGCCCCGCACAAGCAGCGGAGCAUGCGGCUUAAUUCGACGCAACGCGAAGAACCUUACCAAGGCUUGACAUAUACAGGAAUAUGGCAGAGAUGUCAUAGCCGCAAGGUCUGUAUACAGGUGGUGCAUGGUUGUCGUCAGCUCGUGUCGUGAGAUGUUGGGUUAAGUCCCGCAACGAGCGCAACCCUCGUUCUGUGUUGCCAGCAUUAAGUUGGGGACUCACAGGAGACUGCCGGGGUUAACUCGGAGGAAGGUGGGGAUGACGUCAAAUCAUCAUGCCCCUUAUGUCUUGGGCUGCACGCAUGCUACAAUGGCUGGUACAAACGGCUGCGAUACCGCAAGGUGGAGCGAAUCCGAUAAAGCCAGUCUCAGUUCGGAUUGGGGUCUGCAACUCGACCCCAUGAAGUCGGAGUUGCUAGUAAUCGUAGAUCAGCAACGCUACGGUGAAUACGUUCCCGGGGCUUGUACACACCGCCCGUCACAUCACGAAAGUCGGUAACACCCAAAGUCAGUGGCCCAACCGUAAGGAGGGAGCUGCCAAAGGUGGGAUCGGUGAUUGGGAUGAAGUCGUAACAAGGCU